RNAcentral lists this ribosomal RNA (301 nucleotides) under uncultured bacterium. Its description in RNAcentral is "partial 16S ribosomal RNA". It matches the Rfam family "Bacterial small subunit ribosomal RNA", at positions 509 to 809 of the family's 1533-position model. The record is from RNAcentral.
CAGUCGCCACGGUAAUACGUAGGUGGCAAGCGUUGUCCGGAAUUAUUGGGCGUAAAGGGCUCGCAGGCGGUUUCUUAAGUCUGAUGUGAAAGCCCCCGGCUCAACCGGGGAGGGUCAUUGGAAACUGGGAAACUUGAGUGCAGAAGAGGAGAGUGGAAUUCCACGUGUAGCGGUGAAAUGCGUAGAGAUGUGGAGGAACACCAGUGGCGAAGGCGACUCUCUGGUCUGUAACUGACGCUGAGGAGCGAAAGCGUGGGGAGCGAACAGGAUUAGAUACCCCUGUAGUCCCUGUCUCUUAUAU